GCAAAGUGAUCAAAACAUAAAAUAUAUUUAAAUUUAGCAUGGAGUUUAAUUUUAUAUCAAUCAGCACUUAUCCAGGAUCCCACUCGAUCAAAUGUAGACAUUAAUCUUGACCUUAAACUUGAUUUUAAAAAGUAUGAAGUGCAUAUUCUUAAUGAAACAUCUAGUCAUGGACUUAAACUGUAUGAAAAAAUGGCUUCUUAUUUUUCUUUUACACUAGAUAGCAUAUGAUAUAAUCACUUGACUGCAUACUAAUUAGUAUACUUAAUCAAUGCUUAUACUAUGAUAAGGUCAAUCGUUGACUGUCACUUUACAUUGUUGAGCAAAAUCUUAAGAACAAACCCUGUGUUCGAGAUCCAUCAUAAAUCAUAAUACACACAGAAUAACGUUGGAACUUUCAGAAGUUCAGAACAAACAAUACAUACAUGAAGUAAUUGCUACGUAAAAACAAUAAUCAUUAUUAUUUUGUAUGCUGUACACGUUUCUAAGGAAUAUAUUAUAUUGGUAAUAGUUCACAUGAAAAUUGAGUAACAAUGGAUAUGGUCGGUAUAUUAUAUAUUAUUGUUAAAUAAAAUUAUUUCAAUAUAUAAAGAUAAAUAAUAAUUACAAAAUUAUUAGGUCUUUCAAUAAAAAAUACUGUUAUAUAAUAAAAUAAAUAAUAAUAGUUUAUCGUAGAUUUUUCCUUAAAAGUUACGAAUACUGUCUUAUUUAUUCGUCCGUAAAUGUUACAUAAAAAAAUAAAAGUUUUAUUACAAACAAUUGGUUUAUACUCGACAACAACAAGGUGCGCCCACAGUUAAAAACAAUCUGGAAUUUUCAUCACUAACAGCUUAAAUUAAAGUAAAUGUAUAAAAAUUGGUCCAUAAUGAAAUGUAGGUGGUUUUUUUGUUAUUCGAAUAUAAUAUAAGAAUGGAAAAAAAUAUAUAUUUAUAUAAUAAUAAUAAUUAAUAGUGAUCACAAUUUGUUACGCCUAGUAAUACUAUAAAAUAUAUAAUAGGAAUGAGGGAUAAUUCAAUAUAUAAAUAAAUAUAUAAUUAAAGAUUAGCUGCUAAUGUUUUAUAUAUUUUUUUUUUUUGAUGAUUAUUACUACGACGUUUGUUUAUCUGUAGACUUGGUACGUUUUCGGCGUCUCUUCUUCCCAGACGGAUUGGACUGUUUCUUUUCUAAUGAUAUAUCUUCUUCUUCAGCAGCCUCUUCAAUUGGUACUUCUGGUACUU
This is a long non-coding RNA of Myzus persicae (green peach aphid), 1214 nucleotides long. RefSeq lists it as uncharacterized. The transcript has 2 exons. The record is from RefSeq and is a predicted model, not a curated record. Lineage: Eukaryota; Metazoa; Arthropoda; Insecta; Hemiptera; Aphididae.